RNAcentral lists this ribosomal RNA (450 nucleotides) under uncultured bacterium. RNAcentral's name for it is "bacterial SSU rRNA". It matches the Rfam family "Bacterial small subunit ribosomal RNA", at positions 29 to 524 of the family's 1533-position model. The record is from RNAcentral.
AACGAACGCUGGCGGCAUGCCUAACACAUGCAAGUCGAACGAAGCCUUCGGGCUUAGUGGCGCACGGGUGCGUAACGCGUGGGAAUCUGCCCUUGGGUUCGAAUAACAGUUAGAAAUGACUGCUAAUACCGAAUGAUGUCUUCGGACCAAAGAUUUAUCGCCCAAGGAUGAGCCCGCGUCGGAUUAGCUAGUUGGUGAGGUAAAGGCUCACCAAGGCGACGAUCCGUAGCUGGUCUGAGAGGAUGAUCAGCCACACUGGGACUGAGACACGGCCCAGACUCCUACGGGAGGCAGCAGUGGGGAAUAUUGGACAAUGGGCGAAAGCCUGAUCCAGCAAUGCCGCGUGAGUGAUGAAGGCCUUAGGGUUGUAAAAGCUCUUUUUACCCGGGAUGAUAAUGACAGUACCGGGAGAAUAAGCCCGGCUAACUCCGUGCCAGCAGCCGCGGUAAU